GGUGGCAGCACGCCGGAAUGCAAGUCCGGAGAGGCACCCAGGAGGUGCCCCGGCUU
Molecule: transfer RNA, 56 nt
Filed under: Hemidactylus karenorum
Lineage: Eukaryota; Metazoa; Chordata; Lepidosauria; Squamata; Gekkonidae
Description: partial tRNA-Cys
Source: RNAcentral